Molecule: long non-coding RNA, 332 nt
Organism: Felis catus (domestic cat)
Lineage: Eukaryota; Metazoa; Chordata; Mammalia; Carnivora; Felidae
Exons: 4
Source: RefSeq, a predicted model, not a curated record
UGCCUCUGCUUCUGGCACCCAGUAAAUAUAGUAGUAACAAUGGUAUUAACCUCAACAGCCUUGAUGACAAAUUUAAGGCCAGAGUAUGAUGGAAUGCAAUGGAAACAAGAGGAUCUCCUAACUUAGACUGGGAAUGCCAGUGCCUCUCUAGAAAAGAUCAUAGACAUUAAGAGCAACUAGGAAGAUAAUUGUUAUAAUGGAAAGCAUCCUGGACCAGGAAUCAUGGAGAGCUUACGUCUAUUUUUAUCUCUGGCUCUAAGCAAGAAGGGCAUGUAUCCUGUAACACUGCUGAGAGACACAGAGCAUGAACAGGGGAGGGGCAAAGAGAGAGG